This 465-nucleotide ribosomal RNA is filed under the name Vreelandella stevensii. Its description in RNAcentral is "partial 16S ribosomal RNA". It matches the Rfam family "Bacterial small subunit ribosomal RNA", at positions 338 to 795 of the family's 1533-position model. The record is from RNAcentral. Lineage: Bacteria; Pseudomonadati; Pseudomonadota; Gammaproteobacteria; Oceanospirillales; Halomonadaceae.
CCUACGGGGGGCUGCAGUGGGGAAUAUUGGACAAUGGGGGGAACCCUGAUCCAGCCAUGCCGCGUGUGUGAAGAAGGCCCUCGGGUUGUAAAGCACUUUCAGUGAGGAAGAACGCCUGGUGGUUAAUACCCAUCAGGAAAGACAUCACUCACAGAAGAAGCACCGGCUAACUCCGUGCCAGCAGCCGCGGUAAUACGGAGGGUGCGAGCGUUAAUCGGAAUUACUGGGCGUAAAGCGCGCGUAGGUGGCUUGAUAAGCCGGUUGUGAAAGCCCCGGGCUCAACCUGGGAACGGCAUCCGGAACUGUCAAGCUAGAGUGCAGGAGAGGAAGGUAGAAUUCCCGGUGUAGCGGUGAAAUGCGUAGAGAUCGGGAGGAAUACCAGUGGCGAAGGCGGCCUUCUGGACUGACACUGACACUGAGGUGCGAAAGCGUGGGUAGCAAACAGGAUUAGAAACCCGUGUAGUC